This 76-nucleotide transfer RNA is filed under the name Prochloron sp. SP5CPC1. RNAcentral describes it as "tRNA-Arg". It matches the Rfam family "tRNA". Rfam says of the family: Transfer RNA (tRNA) molecules are approximately 80 nucleotides in length. Their secondary structure includes four short double-helical elements and three loops (D, anti-codon, and T loops). The record is from RNAcentral. Lineage: Bacteria; Bacillati; Cyanobacteriota; Cyanophyceae; Chroococcales; Prochloraceae.
GGCCCGGUAGCUCAACGGAUAGAGCAUCUGCCUUCUAAGCAGACGGUUGCAGGUUCGAAUCCUGCUCGGGUCGCCA